UGUAAAGAAAUGCAUCCUUGUGAGAAAAGGAUUUGACAAAGUAGAUUUUGCAGCAGAAAUUGGGAAUGUUCUGAUAAUUAGACAAGUGUCCCAGCCUCUCAAGUUUGCCGGUCAUCUCUGUGUUUAGCGCAGUUUCCUGGCCAUGCACUGCCAGGGGAGGGUGCUGCCCUCAGCCCCAGUGCCCGGCCUGUGCUCGCCCACCCUCAGGCCAGUCUGGGCUCCUCGCCACAGCUCAGCUGCCUCAGUGAAGGCAGGUGCAGGAGCUUCUACCAAUUUCUGCAGCAGUGCCUUAGGCUUUCACCAGGGCAAUCAGCUAAUUAUUCACUGACUAGAUUCAUUCCAGGGCUGUUUGGAGCACCCCAGUUUUAGCUGGGGGAGUACCUCCCCUUCCUCUGCUCCGGCAGCACUCUGUAGCCCAACAGAGGAACCUGGAGGCCCGUUUUGGUACGUUCCCAAAGACACAAAUGCCGAAAAACCCCCAUCCUUAUUCUGCCUUGGUUCAAAGCUAAUGUUUGUGCUAAUUGCUUUCACCCGACUAAGUUUAAAGUGUGUGAACACAGCAGGAGGGGAAGAGCCAUCUGGAGCAAGGACGCAGCAACACUCAAGCCUGAGCAUCUCUAACACCAGUAACGAGGCAAACCCAGAAUAUGGGCUGGUUUUCAAGCCCCAGAGGAGGCUGCAGAGCUGGCUGCUUAAAAUAAACCAAAUCCCACAGCCCUUGGACUUACUCAUGAAACUCAUUUUCUGUGCAAGUUAUUGAGGAAACAAUCCAGGGAUUUCCUUACCUCUGCUUUACAGACCACAGCUUGGCUUCAGCCCAGCCUGCAACAUUCCUUCAGUGCAAACCAUUUGGGCCAGAAUCAUUCCUUUCAGAAGACGACUGGCUUUGCAGAGCACAGUGUCCAAAGAGCAGAGCGGGGCUUGUCGAGGUGAGGAUGAGGAGGGCUCAGCCCCUGCCCAGCUGUGUGGUUGAUGCUGCUGUGCAGUGCCCAGGUGAGAACUUGGGCUCUUUCCAAGCCCCACAUGAGGCUCAUGCUGUUGUUGCACUGAUGCUGGAGCAGGGCCAUCCCAAACCAUGGUGUGCCUGUCCCAACCACUCCCCUUCUUACCCACAAGAUGAGGACACUGGUGACGUUUCCAAACCUUAGCCAAGAAUUCUGGAAAGCUGAUCUGCUGAGUGAGACAGCCACAGGUGCUGGCAGCACCUGCAAGCAGGUAGAGGCUGGGCCAUGGCAGCUCUACCUUGCACACUGAGAUGGAGUGAAUUCAGAGCCCACCCUUGACUCUGGCCUCCAGGGCCAGGCUACACUCCAGCUGAGAUGCACCAGUUGUGAACUUGGGGUGUUAUGAGAAGAGAUAGGAGGGUAGAAUGAGGCAAAACACUGGAAAAUUCCUCUUGGUACUCCUAGGUAGAAAGACAGCACUGGCCUUUCCCCAGAGCAAACCUGUGGAGGCCUCAGGGGAAUCACCAGAGCUUCUCCAGGGAAAAUGAUCCAAAGAGAAAAAAACAGCAGAAUUGUGGGGACUGUGUGCACAGGAAAGAAGAAUUUUAACACACAGGUACUAUGCAAGCAGGGAUUUUCUAUGAAUGAACGUGAAGGAGGGUGGGAACUCCUGAGGUUAAAGGGAACUGUUCAGAAGCAGCACAAUCACUCCCCCUUAUCCCCACAUGAUGUAUAAAAUGAAACAGAAAUCUCAUAAAAGCAUGUGGUUUCCCAAUAUGCCCCAGGCAAAAUCUGGGACUAUGAACUUCAAAGGAAAAUCUGAGUUUUCUUGGCCUCAAGCAGGAGAACUACACCAAGCCCACUUCCCAGGGUGGCCUCAGUCUGGGGCCAUGGAGAGAACCCAAAGCCACGUUCUGCAGAUGGUCAUAAGUGUCUCUAUCAGCACCCACAACACGACAGACAGUCGGGAUGCAGGAGGCAUCCUGAUCUCCACCACUCCAGAGGGCGCUGUCAUAGGAAUGAACCAACACACAGACCUUCAAAGAGAAAAUUUUAUGGACGCUUUCAUACACAUACACAAAUAUUUUAAUAUAAUGGUAACUGAAAUGUUAUCCAUAUUCUUAGUACUGUCAUAAUUAACUAAAAAGAUAUUUUUUAAAAUUUUGUAAAAAUGACAUAUUUUACACAUCUUCUAUUUACAAUUGCAAUAUGCUUAAAUGUUAUAAAACAUCCACUCUGACCUUUAAAAUAUAUGUAUACUAGGACUUAGUAUUAGAUAUAUUAUAAUUUAUAGCAAACUUAGGGUUUGCUGCGUACCUAUCUGUUCAAUGGGAAUUUUGUAAUCAGCCUGGCUUAAUAAAGGCUGCUCAAAACCAAAAUUGACAGAAAAAAAAAAAAAAAA
Non-coding RNA from Cyanistes caeruleus (blue tit), 2346 nucleotides. The record is from RefSeq and is a predicted model, not a curated record. Lineage: Eukaryota; Metazoa; Chordata; Aves; Passeriformes; Paridae.